RNAcentral lists this unclassified non-coding RNA (349 nucleotides) under Hevea brasiliensis (rubber tree). The record is from RNAcentral. Lineage: Eukaryota; Viridiplantae; Streptophyta; Magnoliopsida; Malpighiales; Euphorbiaceae.
UGAGAUAAGGCAUCGGAACAUAGUAAAACUUUAUGGUUUUUGUUCGUAUGCACUACACUCAUUUCUGGUUUACGAGUACCUUGAAGGCGGUAACUUGGCCACAAUCCUAGGCAAUGAUAAAAAAGCUGAAGAUUUGGAUUGGAGUAAGAGGGUGAACAUUGUUAAAGGUGUUGCCAAUGCCCUGUCUUACAUGCACCACAAUUGCUCACCACCAAUUAUUCAUCGAGACAUAGCAAGCAAAAACAUUAUGCUUGAUUCUGAAUUCGAGGUUCACAUAACAGAUUUUGGCACUGCCAAGCUUCUAAAUCCUGAUUCAUCCCAUUGGACUGCACUGACAGGAGCAUAUGGA